RNAcentral lists this ribosomal RNA (489 nucleotides) under uncultured bacterium. RNAcentral's name for it is "partial 16S ribosomal RNA". It matches the Rfam family "Bacterial small subunit ribosomal RNA", at positions 28 to 507 of the family's 1533-position model. The record is from RNAcentral.
GACGAACGCUGGCGGCGUGCUUAACACAUGCAAGUCGAACGGUGAAGGGACCAGCUUGCUGGUUCUGGGUGAGGGGCGAACGGGUGAGUAACACGUGAGUAACCUGCCCCCUUCUUCUGGAUAACCGCAUGAAAGGGUGUCUAAUACGGGAUAUUCUGGUGCUGUCGCAUGGCGGGCGCGGGGAAGAUAUUGCUUCGGUUGGGGAUGGGCUCGCGGCCUAUCAGCUUGUUGGUGUGGAGAUGGCCUACGAAGGCGGGGACGCGUAGGCGGCCUGUGAGCGGGGGCGGUGACAGUGGGACUGAGACACGGCGCAGACUCCUACGGGAGGCAGCAGUGGGGAAGGUUGCAGAAUGGGAGCAAGCAUGAUGCAGCGAAGCCGCGUGAGGGAUGGAGGCCUUCGGGUUGUAAGCCUCUUGCGCGAGUGAAGCAGGCCUGCUCCAUGUGGGUGGGUUGACGGUAGCUGGAUAAGAAGCGCCGGCUAACUACGUG